Long non-coding RNA from Glycine soja, 3625 nucleotides. RefSeq lists it as uncharacterized. Lineage: Eukaryota; Viridiplantae; Streptophyta; Magnoliopsida; Fabales; Fabaceae. The record is from RefSeq and is a predicted model, not a curated record. The transcript has 10 exons.
UUCGCGCUUCCUCCUCUUUCCUCUUUAGCGCUUCCUCCUCUUGCCCUUUCACCCUAGUCUCGCUUCAAACCCUUUCGAACCCUUACACGAACCUCUCGCUGGACCUCUGGCUUCACCCUAGUCUCGCUUCUAAGCUGUCAGCACCUCUUCACCCUAGUCUCGCUUCCGCUGCAAAGUGAACCUUUUAAAGGUUCGAAGAACCUCCCCCGUCGCCGCCGUGGAAUCGUAGCCUCAGCUCCCUCGCCGCCUUUCGCCGGAGUAUCACCCCAACGUCGUCGUCACUGGGCUUUCUUAACAACAUUUUGAUGAGGAUGAUGAAGGGAGAAGGAACCAUCAGGUAGCAGAGAUUGAAGUUAGAACAUCUUUUUUGCUGACCACAAAAGACCAUAACCAUUUUCCUCUAACCAUCUUAGGCCACUCGAGAGUUCAUACCCUUUAAAUUCAAGAUUUUACACGUUUGGACUAUCAGUACCUGAGAAUACUGGAGGCCUUCAGAGAACUCAUUGACAAUCACUGAACAAACAACUACAGUAAGCACGGUUGCUUUUUAUCUUGGAAGACCAGAGGAGUUCAAAAUAACAGUGUCGCGGUAAGUAAUUUCAUUCUGAACUAAUUCAUGAUGUCUGCUAUAUGAUUAUAUGAGAGUAUUUCAAAAGAUUUAUGUCUUACAAUAUUUACUUUAAUUUUAAGUGUUUAUAAAUAAAUAUAUGUUUAGAGCAUUUUAAACAAGCUGGUAAAGGUCCAGUGAUACACUGAUCAAAAUCCUCUAAUUUGACAAACGGGGGCCUCUUAGUGAGAAAAGCUUGUCAGUUCUAUUACAUGUUGCUGGUAAUUAAAUUUUUUUAUGCAAAAUUUGACAGUGGGUCAUAGAUAAUAAAAAUCAUCUAAGAUCUCAAUUUAAGAUUUCUCGUUAAAAAUAAACAAGAUGAAGUGCUUAUACUUUUUGGUGCAUAAUAACCACCUGACCCGCCUAAUCCACGGCCCAUGACAGCCUUUAUUAGCAUAUAUAUUAUCCCACUUUUGGUUAUAUAUCAUUGUAGUUGACUGCACCAUGCUUAAACUAGUUAGAAAAUAUCAAAGUGAUUAAAUGUCAUUAACUAAUAACUAUACUCAUUUAAAGUACUAAGUUAGUUGGCAUCCGCUGGCAAAGCCAUUCCUGCCCCAACAACAACAUUUCUUCCCACUAAACAUGUCUGGUUAAGCCGUACGUUAAUGGUUCAUAAGGAUCAUUAAUUCAUUAUCUUGCAUCUAUAGCACUAUUAAUCUUUGAUUCUGGUUGAGGAAAGCAACAAAUUCAUUAAAAAAAUUGCAAGUACAACUAAAAAGAUAUAGAUUAAUAAAUAAAAAGGGUACUACUAUAACCUCGUUAUUUAAAAAUAUUGUAUAAAAAAUUAUCUCUAGCUAAUUCAAAAUGCAUGUGGUUCAAGUGCAAGUAAUCGGAUUGGUAGUCAUAUAUAUCUAGACUAGAUUAGAUAGAAAAAUAGAGGGAAUAAUUAUAAAGCUGAGGAAGAGGAGAUCCUAUGGUAGUUUUGGAUAUUUGUUAGUAAAAAAGAAAGAAAGGAACCCCACGAAUUGAAAAGUUAGUGAAGAAGGAAAGAAUUGGAAACAGUGAAGGAGAGUUAAUUUGGUGUGUAUCAUGUGGGUGGGAGGGCCUACAAUAUGCAGUGCAGCGAAGGCUUAUGCAUUGGAUUGCAUGUGACUAUGUGAGUGUAUAGGGAAGAGUUUCACAUAAAUACUUAUUUAAACGUCUGGAAGAGUAUUGUACUUAUUUGAGUUUAUCAUAUCACAUAAAUACUUAUUUAAACGUCUGGGAGAGUAUUGUACGAAAGUAACAUAAGAAUUGACUUAAAAGUUAAAUACUUUUGGCUGAAUACGUUUGUCAUUUGAUAUAGAAGAGAGAAAGAAAAUAUCUGUCAAUUAAACAAUUUAUUAGUAAUAUUUUUUUUGUAGCAUUCCAUUUUUUUUUUUUGGAAUUGUCUGCACAAUGUUUCGUCUUUCCCCAACAGUUAUAAAUUGCUAAUGAUAGUAUUUGUCUUGAAUUGGUUUGGAAUGUUUAAAUGUGCACCCUAAGUUUGAAAUGUGAUUCAUUUGCGACCUCACCAUAGCCUUCUGCCUCUAUUAUGUUGCCACCCAUUACUUCCACGUCCUUCCCAACCCUUUCUCUUUCUUGGCAUGGCCAAUCUACUGGGCUGUCCAAGGUUGCAUCCUUACUGGAGUUUGGGUCAUUGCCCAUAAGUGUGGCCACCAUGCAUUCAGUGACUACCAGUUGCUUGAUGAUAUUGUUGGCCUUGUCCUCCACUCCGGUCUCCUAGUCCCAUACUUUUCAUGGAAAUACAGCCAUCGCCAUCACCACUCCAACACUGGUUCUCUUGAGCGGGAUGAAGUAUUUGUGCCAAAGCAGAAGUCAUGUAUCAAGUGGUACUUUAAAUACCUUAACAAUCCUCCAGGCAGAGUCCUCACUCUUACCGUAUUCUAUUAUUAUUGACUUAGAAUCCUUAACCUUUUCUGCUUAUGGAGAUGAUGUAGUAAGGGUGUGUGUUGACACUGUAUACGAUGCUGAAGCCAUUGUCCCGUUACCCACUUUAGAGAUUCAGUAUUUCAGGGACGCCGUGAACUCAUUCAUUGGAUGGCCCAGACAUCUAGUGAAACCUUUAUCUUAUGAUUCUGACCUUAAUGUGCGGAAGCCAGUUGAACAUAGUAGUGAUGCAAAGCUUGCAGGUGAAUCCGAUCCAUUGGGAGAGUUGAUGAAGAUAUUGUUUUAUGUGUACCAGAAUCCAGUGGAAGUGUCGUGGGAGGCUCACCAAUUUGGACUUCCUGAGAUUGGGGCAAAAUUUUACAUCACACAUGUAGAUCUAGCAUAAAUAAUAUCAGGUGACAAGUGUUUAAACAUAGCGAUACUACAAUUGUGGACCAUAUUUAUGAAUGAGUGCGGUAGAAGCAAAGCUGAUCAGUCACUAUAUGGUUUGCUGGAGCCUCAAUCUAUACAAAAUGCUAAGGAAAGACGUCAACAAUGCCAACAAUACAUUGAAACAUGGGUCAAGGAAUCACAAAGGCAGUUGUAUUUAGGAGCUUACUUGCAUCAGGCACAUUGGCAACUAUUUGUUCUCCACCCAAGGGAAAACAUGGUCGUUUGGUUUUGUUCUCUGAGGAAGAAGCCUGAUAUUAACAUCAAAGGCGCAAUUAACAGUGCAAUGAAGACAAUAACCAGUUCUUUUGAAGGCAUGUCUAAUCAAGGUGCACCUCGGUGGGUUGAACCCAAGACUAAUGUGCAAAGUGGAGGGUUUGAGUGCGGAUAUUAUGUCAUGCACUGGAUGUGGUGCACAAGUGGUUUUCUGAUGGCUCAUCGUUAGACGUGGAGGCCAUCACAACAGUUCGACAGAAAUGGGCAACUUACUUUUUAUCUUUUAGGAAAAGCAGUUGCUAAAUUUGAUUUGUAUUAUGUACAAGUGCAUUUUUCCUGUGGUUUCAUCAAAGAAUUAGAACAAUUAUGGCUACAACUUUGUAUGUUGGAUACAUUAGAGGAUCAUUACUUCAAAAAAGGGUAUUCAAUUUGCAUGGACUUAUAUAUGUAGGAUGCAUGUCAUUUGAUGCUAUUGUUCAGAUUUCAUUUGAUGUUAUUAUUUAA